Molecule: ribosomal RNA, 497 nt
Filed under: uncultured bacterium
Lineage: Bacteria
Description: partial 16S ribosomal RNA
Rfam family: Bacterial small subunit ribosomal RNA
Source: RNAcentral
GAUGAACGCUGGCGGCGUGCCUAAUACAUGCAAGUCGAGCGAACAGACGAGGAGCUUGCUCCUUUGACGUUAGCGGCGGACGGGUGAGUAACACGUGGAUAACCUACCUAUAAGACUGGGAUAACUUCGGGAAACCGGAGCUAAUACCGGAUAACAUGUUGAACCGCAUGGUUCAACAGUGAAAGACGGUCUUGCUGUCACUUAUAGAUGGAUCCGCGCCGCAUUAGCUAGUUGGUAAGGUAACGGCUUACCAAGGCAGCGAUGCGUAGCCGACCUGAGAGGGUGAUCGGCCACACUGGAACUGAGACACGGUCCAGACUCCUACGGGAGGCAGCAGUAGGGAAUCUUCCGCAAUGGGCGAAAGCCUGACGGAGCAACGCCGCGUGAGUGAAGAAGCUCUUCGGAUCGUAAAACUCUGUUAUUAGGGAAGAACAAAUGUGUAAGUAACUAUGCACGUCUUGACGGUACCUAAUCAGAAAGCCACGGCUAACUACGUG